This is a long non-coding RNA of Oncorhynchus tshawytscha (Chinook salmon), 1679 nucleotides long. Lineage: Eukaryota; Metazoa; Chordata; Actinopteri; Salmoniformes; Salmonidae. The record is from Ensembl.
UGAAAAUCCCUCAACUUAGUAUACUAGGUCUGCCGAGUGACGCAGCGGUCUAAGGCACUGCAUCUCAGUGCCUGACUUGCCAAGUUAAAUAAAGGUUAAAUAAAAUACAUUUAAAAAAUGAAAGGUCAGGGGUACACCAACGCUAUUUGUGAAGGUUCGGUCACACAAGUUUAAAGGUGGCAAAGAUCCAGAUGGAUAUUAUUAUUUAUUGGAGUGACACAAACAUUACAACAAAAUCAAAAGUAAGUUGAGUUUAUUAUUUUAAUUUUAUUUUUUUACCUGCAGUCCGUAUUGACCCCAUUCUGGAUCACAGUCCGGCUAUUGAGUAUUGCUGGCCUAUGUCAAAAUCUAAAUAUCUAAAUGAGUUAUGUUACAGAUAUUUGUAUUAUCUCUUGAAAAUAACAUAAUGCCUGAGAAAUCAGUACUAUAUGAACCACUGUUUUGAGACAGUGCCACAUGACCUGCAAAAUGGCGUCGAUAAAGAUGGAAGCUUCGCUUCUAGUCCUUAGAAAACUGUGCAGUAUUUUGUUUUUUAUGUAUUAUUUCUUACAUUGUUAGCCCAGAAAACAACCGGGAAUAACUAUUGGAUAUCAGACAGACGUCAACUUACCAGCACAACCAGCACCACAACCAGGAAUACGACUUUCCCAAAGCGGAUCCUUUGUCUGCACCUCCCAGGGCACUUGAACUGAUUCCAAAGGCCGACCCAAAACAAAGCCGCCGGAGGAGAGGAUGCCGGAGCGGAUGUCAAGUGAGGCUUCGGAUGCACGCACACCACCCACCUCUUCCGAGUAUAUUACUUGCUAAUGUCCAGUCCCUAGAUAAAAAAAAGUUUACGAGAUUUGGGCAAGGGUUGCUUUCCAGAGAGACAUCAGGGAUUGUAAUAUACUGUUUCACGGAAACAUGGCUCUAUUGGGAUAUACUGUCGGAGUCAGUAUGUUAUUUGAAUGGACAAAAAUGUGCUUUUCUUUCAAAAACAAGGACAUUUCUAAGUGACCCCAAACGUUUGAACGGCUGCUGUGGUCAGAGGUCCUAAAUUCCUGAGAAGACCUCAUGGACACACAGUUAUAGAGAGUCGUUUUUCAUGGAGGCAAAGGAAAUCCUUCCACCUCACAGAACUUGAGAUACGAACCAAUUUCAUGUUCCGGAGAAAGUGUAAAAGAUCGGUGAAGAAUCAAGCUACGAACUGGUCCGUUUGUCACAACUUGGGAAGCUCAUGGGAGACGGUGUGACCACAUUACCAUAACGCUGUUUAUAUAAUAGCCACAGAGAUAAGGUUUACAUCUAAUUGUAGUAUUAGAUGAAUGAGUGAGUAUGAUACUGUUUACACAAUUUUACAAUAUGAUUUUGGACUGUUUAAUGAAGGAAAACUCAAAAAAGGGAAUUGGAUUUGAACUAAAUCAGAGGACCGCCCCUGAGGCCAGUUAAGGUCAGACAUCCUGGGACUGCCCUUUUCUGCCAUUCCGAAUAAAACCCAACUUUGAGAAAUCAUCACCAGACCAUGUUUUUCUCCAUUAGGAGGGGGACAAAGGUUGCAGACCAUUGCUGAAUCUUUUAACCAUACUACGUGGUUAAACUCUUAGACUAUCGAUACCAACAGAAUGAGAACAAGUCUUUGAUAUUAAUUACUAGUCUGCAGCUAGGAAUUUGGUAUCAUUGAACGCGAAGAACGACAACCG